UUCCUUGGCCACACCACCCUAAAUGCACCUGAUCUUGUCUGAUCUCAGAAGCUAAGCAGGAUUCAGCCUGAUUAGUACUUGGGAUGGGAGCCUGCCCAGGAAUAUCAGGUGCUGUAGGCU
This is a ribosomal RNA of Capra hircus (goat), 120 nucleotides long. The record is from Ensembl. Lineage: Eukaryota; Metazoa; Chordata; Mammalia; Artiodactyla; Bovidae.